This 747-nucleotide long non-coding RNA is filed under the name Phasianus colchicus (ring-necked pheasant). RNAcentral describes it as "lncRNA (ENSPCLG00000003517.1)". Lineage: Eukaryota; Metazoa; Chordata; Aves; Galliformes; Phasianidae. The record is from RNAcentral.
GGAAAAUGCAGAGCUUCUAACAUUGAGCUUUCAUGAUCAACAUUUUUUAAUGGUGAGAUUAUUGUGAAAUAAACACUGGAGAGGCUUGGUAGUAUUCCAGGCUAAGUAGCACGAAAGGAGGUAUAUCCAUCACUAAUAGUUCAGUAACUUCUUGCACGAAAUGUUUCGUUUUAAAAGAUGCAGGUGGAGGACAAUUAAUUAUUUGAGCAAUGUAUUUUAUAAUAUUUUAUAUUAUUUAAUAUUUAUAAUACAUACUCAAACCUCAUAAUUAAAAUUAAACGUUCUGUCUUAACAGUGUAUGACUGACUUGCGAGGAUUACUUUCAGGACCACCUUAACUGUCACGUGUUCUAUUUUUCCACACAGCUGUGACAGAAAUCAUGACUGAUGAGUAAAAGCCCCUAACACCGACCCUUUGAGGACUGUCAGAUUUUAUGAGCUAAUGCUAAGUCUGUACUCAUUUUGUAAAACACUGAGUAAAUUUUCAGACACUGUAAAAAAACCCCACAGAGAUGAAGUAAAAUAUGUUAAUAACCUGAAACAGUUGCACAGUGAAGAAAGUAUCACAGAGGAAGAAAGUAGGUGGGGUUCUGAAGUCAAGAGCAAGACGGCUAAUUUCAGGAUUUAUUCCUAUUUGGAAGAAAAUGGAGGUGCAGCGCUGCUGACAAAUCUGCUAAGCCAAGUGUUUUGUUCCUCAUGAGUAAGUAAGAUGAAGUAAAAUGUGCAGAGUGGGAGCGGCAGGCUGAGG